Molecule: long non-coding RNA, 473 nt
Organism: Nematostella vectensis (starlet sea anemone)
Lineage: Eukaryota; Metazoa; Cnidaria; Anthozoa; Actiniaria; Edwardsiidae
Exons: 2
Source: RefSeq, a predicted model, not a curated record
UCCAGUCAAUCAUGCAACUCCCAGGCCCCACUCGGUCUCACGGCUUUUACGUGUUUUUACCGUCUCACUUUAUUGCUUCAAAGUUCGUCUGUUCACAGAAAAAAAGGGAAGCUAGAAAAUAAUAUUCAAUGAGAAAAUAUACGGAUUCAAAUGGGCUGAUUGUGGUCGAGGGAAAGAUUUUUUUCUGAAGAAACUGAGAAGCCUGCGUACGAACCGAAAGUAAAAUCUACCCUCAAGUGUUCCGGGAGUGAAUGCCUCCCGUCGAGUUCUUCUUCAAUUGUAGCAGCAGAGGACUAUAAAGAGGCUUUACAUUACUAUUCUCAUCAAGAUGUCACGAAGCAAAUUCAAAACAGAAAGGUGAAUAAAGCAAGGAAUUAACCCAGAUUCAUUAUGUAGGCUGGCUGAAAGCAAAUGUAAAUGAAUGUUUUUCAUAUUCUUUUAUUUUUAGUAUAAUUAUAUUCAAUCAACCCUCA